RNAcentral lists this ribosomal RNA (301 nucleotides) under uncultured bacterium. Its description in RNAcentral is "partial 16S ribosomal RNA". It matches the Rfam family "Bacterial small subunit ribosomal RNA", at positions 509 to 807 of the family's 1533-position model. The record is from RNAcentral.
CAGUAGCCGCGGUAAUACAGAGGGUGCGAGCGUUAAUCGGAUUUACUGGGCGUAAAGCGUGCGUAGGCGGCUUCUUAAGUCGGAUGUGAAAUCCCUGAGCUUAACUUAGGAAUUGCAUUCGAUACUGGGAAGCUAGAGUAUGGGAGAGGAUGGUAGAAUUCCAGGUGUAGCGGUGAAAUGCGUAGAGAUCUGGAGGAAUACCGAUGGCGAAGGCAGCCAUCUGGCCUAAUACUGACGCUGAGGUACGAAAGCAUGGGGAGCAAACAGGAUUAGAUACCCGAGUAGUCCCUGUCUCUUAUAC